UUUUAGUACAUCUAAACUAUAGUAACUUGUGUCUUCCUUACAAGUGGUGUCAUCCACCAUUCUUUCUCUCCCCUCUUAAAAAGUGGGAAAAAGGAAGACUGCUGGACCACACCACAAGUUAUAACAACAAAAAAAAGGUUCAUACAAACUUUACUCUGCUGCAUGGACUGUAUCAGCUUGUAUUCAGGCAGGUCAAGUUGGGCGAUAUAAGUGUGUGCUGGAAGGAAGCUGUCAUCUGCUGGCUUUUGGAUUAUCAACUUGGAAGCCUAGAAGUGAUAGAAAGAAGGAAGAGGAGAAGAUAGAUGAUAAUAAGGAGGGAAGAAAGAGAAAGAGAGAGAGAGAAGACAACAAAGAAGGAAGAGGACAUGAGAGAAGAAUGAGGUUAAUAGAAGAGGAAGAAAAAAAGAAGAAAUGAGAGAAAGA
Long non-coding RNA from Scylla paramamosain (green mud crab), 423 nucleotides. RefSeq lists it as uncharacterized. The transcript has 2 exons. The record is from RefSeq and is a predicted model, not a curated record. Lineage: Eukaryota; Metazoa; Arthropoda; Malacostraca; Decapoda; Portunidae.